Octopus sinensis (East Asian common octopus) is the source of this 359-nucleotide long non-coding RNA. RefSeq lists it as uncharacterized. The record is from RefSeq and is a predicted model, not a curated record. Lineage: Eukaryota; Metazoa; Mollusca; Cephalopoda; Octopoda; Octopodidae. The transcript is spliced from 3 exons.
GCAUUAAACCAGACGUCUUUUAGCCCAUUCUUUCAUCUUGUCUAUCCAGUAUCUUCUCAGUUUUCCCUUUCCUUGUUUCCCAUUGACUCUUCCUUCUGCGAUGUAGAUGUUGAGGUCCUGGGCCCUGGGGACAUGCCCGAAAUACUGCAACUUUCCCUUCUUCACAGUUGCCAAGAAUUCUCCUUCCCUUCAUAUUUUCUCAUCUCCCAAUUUGUUUGAUGGUCAGUUCAGCUGAUUGUCAGAAAUCUUGGGCAAUUCAUUGUUUCAAAUGCUUUCAGUUCGGCAGUGUUUUUCUCCAGUAGCACGAAUUCUGUUGCAAUGCAUUCGGACCAGUUUCCUGGUUUCAGGAUACCCCCACC